RNAcentral lists this long non-coding RNA (588 nucleotides) under Zonotrichia albicollis (white-throated sparrow). Its description in RNAcentral is "lncRNA (ENSZALG00000000177.1)". The record is from RNAcentral. Lineage: Eukaryota; Metazoa; Chordata; Aves; Passeriformes; Passerellidae.
CUUUCCCUUCCCCUGAAUUCCCAUGGAUUUCUCCAAUAGAGAACCUUUCCCUUCCCCUGAAUUCCCGUGGAUUUCUCCAGUGGAAAACCUUUCCAUUUCCCUGAAUUCCCACUGAUUUCUCCAAGGGACAACCUUUCCCUUAGUUCCUAUGGAUUUCUCUAGUGGAGAACCUUUCCCUUCCCCUGAAUUCUCAUGGAUUUCUCCAGUGGACAACCUUCCCUAAAUUCCCAUGGAUUUCUCCAAGGGAAAACCUUUCCCUUCCCCUGAAUUCUGGUGGAUUCCUCCAGUGGAAAACCUUUCCCUUCUCCUGAAUUCCCAUGGGUUUCUCCAGGAGAAAAUCUUUCCCUUCCCCUGAAUUCCCAUGGAUUUUUCCAAGGGAAAACCUUUCCCUUAGUUCCUAUGGAUUUCUCUAGUGGAAAACCUUUCCCUUCCCCUGAAUUCCCAUGGAUUUCUCCAGNGUUGGGAUGUGGAGGUGUCACUGUCACUCCUGAGAUUCCAGAGGCACCUUGGAGAGGUUGGGAUAUGGAGGUGUCACUGUCACCCCAGAGAUUCCAGAGACAGCAGCUGACCUUGGAGAAGAGUGGGGAU